RNAcentral lists this ribosomal RNA (402 nucleotides) under uncultured prokaryote. Its description in RNAcentral is "bacterial SSU rRNA". It matches the Rfam family "Bacterial small subunit ribosomal RNA", at positions 355 to 774 of the family's 1533-position model. The record is from RNAcentral.
UGGGGAAUAUUGGACAAUGGGGGAAACCCUGAUCCAGCAAUGCCGCGUGUGUGAAGAAGGCCUUAGGGUUGUAAAGCACUUUCGCCCGCGAAGAUGAUGACGGUAGCGGGAGAAGAAGCCCCGGCUAACUCCGUGCCAGCAGCCGCGGUAAUACGGAGGGGGCUAGCGUUGUUCGGAAUUACUGGGCGUAAAGCGCACGUAGGCGGCUUGAACAGUUAGGCGUGAAAGGCCUGGGCUUAACCGGGGAACUGCGCUUAAUACUAGCGAGCUUGAGUCCGGAAGGGGGUGGCGGAAUUCCCAGUGUAGAGGUUAAAUUCGUAGAUAUUGGGAAGAACACCGGUGGCGAAGGCGGCCACCUGGUCCGGAACUGACGCUGAUGUGCGAAAGCGUGGGGAGCAAACA